GACAUUGCGUGGGGUCCGGUGUUAUCGCUAAACAUUGAUAAGAUUUGUCUUUUAAAAGAUAGUCUGAUGAUUUGUCUUCUCCUAACUCUGCUUCUUUUAUGCAUUCAUCGAUGAUAUCCAUGAAGUAACAUGUAUCUUCUAUUGCAGGUGCUUUUAAGAAUUGGGAAAGAAUGAACUCAAUUUUCUCUUCACCUACUUCGAAGGUGAGUCGUCCUCGUUUUACGUCUAUGAUUGCACCGGCAGUUGCUAAAAACGGUCUUCC
This 262-nucleotide long non-coding RNA is filed under the name Lathyrus oleraceus (garden pea). Its description in RNAcentral is "Pisum sativum (pea) long non-coding RNA (PSAT_LNC026524)". Lineage: Eukaryota; Viridiplantae; Streptophyta; Magnoliopsida; Fabales; Fabaceae. The record is from RNAcentral.